UGCAGCCGGACCGUUGUCUGAUCAAAGAAACUCUAGUAACGUGGAAAUUCAUGCUCCGAGUAGUGACAAGCCAGUGACUUUUUCUAUAGAAAGGGUACAAGACUCCAAUUUGAAAAUCUCAAGCAGCUUUAUAUUCAAGCAAGUUCAAUCCAAUCUCUUCCUGACUCACUGUCUCAUCAACAUGCAAAGCUCUCGAAGAGAAAUCAUCUCUUACUUGCCUGAGGGAGUUCUGGCAGACGUUUUGAAUGUGGAUGUGGAAGUUCUUUCCUCGUCUCCAUCCUGUCAAGAGCCGUGGAGCAAACAGCAGGAUGAGGAAGACAUGGAAGACAAAACUGAUAACGCACGUCACCUCGCUGCAGCGGGAGACAGAAUGUAACUUCAAUUCAGCCUCUUUGGGGUUUGGGUUCUGACCAAGUAAAUCGGGAAUGUUGUUAACA
Molecule: long non-coding RNA, 437 nt
Filed under: Homo sapiens (human)
Lineage: Eukaryota; Metazoa; Chordata; Mammalia; Primates; Hominidae
Description: HSALNT0353633
Source: RNAcentral